RNAcentral lists this long non-coding RNA (1436 nucleotides) under Malus domestica (apple). RNAcentral describes it as "long non-coding RNA (MDOM_LNC011166)". The record is from RNAcentral. Lineage: Eukaryota; Viridiplantae; Streptophyta; Magnoliopsida; Rosales; Rosaceae.
UGUGAUCUUGAAUAGCUACUGGAUCAUCAAAAGAUUUAAACCAUAACGAAUUGAAGCCAAGGAUAGAUGAAGCUUUUUUUUUUUCACCAUACAAUGAAAGAAAGUAGUAUUUUUAUCCCACAACGACAACCAGCGAAACAGAGACUUAUCUUCUAGAUUAAGAAAUUUUUUGUUUGCUAAUUCUUUCAUGUUUUAAAAGAUUUCUUAAUAACUCGUCUCGGUUUAGAUUAUACGAGCCAAAAUACUAACAGAUGUCCAUCGAAAUUUCAUUCAAGGAAUGAUUAAAUAAAGGCAAUGGCAUGGUAAAGAUUAAAUACCCUAAUUUCAAACUUUGGUAAUGCAUAGCUCAAUUUCGUUUUUUUUCUUUCCAAAGACCAGACUACGAGAACAGUCAACACCAACAUCCUAUUCGUGUAGCUAUUAGCACCUGACCCGCUACUUUGGCGAGCCACCAAACCACCACACCAUCAUGUCCCAUCCCCUCUCUACCACUCAUUAUUUCUCUCAUCUUUAUCUCUUGACAUGCUUUUUAGCCAAAAUGGUUCUUGAGAUUUGCAUAACACAUCACUUUGAUCCCUGAGAUUGAAAAUCAAUAGAAAUUGGCCUUGAGAUUGUCUACCAUCCAUUAUUUUGGUCAUUCUGUUAAAAACUCCGUUAAGUGUCCCGGAGGUCUUGGCCGUAAGUUUGGGCAAUUUUCAAAGCUUUGUAACUCAAUGGUUUCUUAACCAAAUUCGACCCAUAAUAUAUCAAAAUGAAGAUAGGAAAGUGUAGAGAAAAAUUAUACCAUUUGAAAGCCUAAUGGUCGCCGAAGAUGACCGAAAAAUAGCCUGAAAGGUGACUGGUCUGUGGGAAAACUGGAAAACUCUCCGGCAACUGGGUAAACUUUAAACGUUCAUAACUUCUUCAAUACUCAACAAAAUUGAGUAAUUCAAAAACGAAAAUCAUAUAUCUCUACGAGACGAAGAGAAUGGUAUCUUUCUCGACUACUAACUUGACACGCCCCGAUCCCGAUAUUCCCUGAAUACCAGGAUAGGCAUGUUCUGGCCGACACCCGAAGGUGACGAAAGCCAUUUAUUCAAUGCAAAUGCUGAGAACAAGGAAUAGAUAAGGUUUAUAAAUGUAAAAGAAUAAAGAAUAUGCAUUUAAGGAACGUGUUCAGAGCAUACAACUAACCAGAAUACUAAAAGAAAUAAUAUAAAAUUGAAUGAAGAAAGGAGUAGGUCCUACACCAAGAGGACUCGAAGAUGCCGCUGCGGAAGUGCCUUGACGUUGGGAUUGUAUGCCUUGAUUCUAAGUCCUAAAUGGGGGCGCAAAACAAAGGUGAGUGGACCACGUUCAUAUAUACAGUAAUAAUAAAACAGUUAUAAAGAUACUAACCCCCACAAUUUAUAUACAGAAAACUACUAGCAUAAUAAGUGAUAGGUUUACUAAAAACC